This 454-nucleotide ribosomal RNA is filed under the name uncultured bacterium. RNAcentral describes it as "bacterial SSU rRNA". It matches the Rfam family "Bacterial small subunit ribosomal RNA", at positions 335 to 800 of the family's 1533-position model. The record is from RNAcentral.
ACUCCUACGGGAGGCAGCAGUGGGGAAUAUUGCACAAUGGGCGCAAGCCUGAUGCAGCGACGCCGCGUGAGGGAUGACGGCCUUCGGGUUGUAAACCUCUGUUAGCAGGGAAGAAGAGAGAUUGACGGUACCUGCAGAGAAAGCGCCGGCUAACUACGUGCCAGCAGCCGCGGUAAUACGUAGGGCGCGAGCGUUGUCCGGAAUUAUUGGGCGUAAAGAGCUUGUAGGCGGUUUGUCGCGUCUGCUGUGAAAGGCCGGAGCUUAACUCCGUGUAUUGCAGUGGGUACGGGCAGACUAGAGUGCAGUAGGGGAGACUGGAAUUCCUGGUGUAGCGGUGGAAUGCGCAGAUAUCAGGAGGAACACCGAUGGCGAAGGCAGGUCUCUGGGCUGUAACUGACGCUGAGAAGCGAAAGCAUGGGGAGCGAACAGGAUUAGAUACCCUUGUAGUCCUAUC